RNAcentral lists this ribosomal RNA (656 nucleotides) under uncultured Gammaproteobacteria bacterium. RNAcentral's name for it is "bacterial SSU rRNA". It matches the Rfam family "Bacterial small subunit ribosomal RNA", at positions 848 to 1504 of the family's 1533-position model. The record is from RNAcentral. Lineage: Bacteria; Pseudomonadati; Pseudomonadota; Gammaproteobacteria.
GGAGCUAACGCGUUAAAUCGACCGCCUGGGGAGUACGGCCGCAAGGUUAAAACUCAAAUGAAUUGACGGGGGCCCGCACAAGCGGUGGAGCAUGUGGUUUAAUUCGAUGCAACGCGAAGAACCUUACCUACUCUUGACAUCCAGAGAACUUUCCAGAGAUGGAUUGGUGCCUUCGGGAACUCUGAGACAGGUGCUGCAUGGCUGUCGUCAGCUCGUGUUGUGAAAUGUUGGGUUAAGUCCCGCAACGAGCGCAACCCUUAUCCUUUGUUGCCAGCGGUUCGGCCGGGAACUCAAAGGAGACUGCCAGUGAUAAACUGGAGGAAGGUGGGGAUGACGUCAAGUCAUCAUGGCCCUUACGAGUAGGGCUACACACGUGCUACAAUGGCAUAUACAAAGAGAAGCGACCUCGCGAGAGCAAGCGGACCUCAUAAAGUAUGUCGUAGUCCGGAUUGGAGUCUGCAACUCGACUCCAUGAAGUCGGAAUCGCUAGUAAUCGUAGAUCAGAAUGCUACGGUGAAUACGUUCCCGGGCCUUGUACACACCGCCCGUCACACCAUGGGAGUGGGUUGCAAAAGAAGUAGGUAGCUUAACCUUCGGGAGGGCGCUUACCACUUUGUGAUUCAUGACUGGGGUGAAGUCGUAACAAGGUAGCCGUA